UACGGAGGGUGCGAGCGUUGUCCGGAAUCACUGGGCGUAAAGGGCGCGUAGGCGGCCUGACAAGUAGGGGGUGAAAUCCUGCGGCUUAACCGCAGGGCUGCCUUCUAAACUGUCAGGCUCGAGCACAGUAGAGGCAGGUGGAAUUCCCGGUGUAGCGGUGGAAUGCGUAGAGAUCGGGAAGAACAUCAGUGGCGAAGGCGGCCUGCUGGGCUGUUGCUGACGCUGAGGCGCGACAGCGUGGGGAGCAAACAGG
This 253-nucleotide ribosomal RNA is filed under the name uncultured bacterium. Its description in RNAcentral is "partial 16S ribosomal RNA". It matches the Rfam family "Bacterial small subunit ribosomal RNA", at positions 524 to 776 of the family's 1533-position model. The record is from RNAcentral.